UAGUCCACGCCGUAAACGAUGACAACUAGCCGUCGGGGCCCUUGAGGCCUUGGUGGCGCAGCUAGCGCGAUAAGUUGUCCGCCUGGGGAGUACGGCCGCAAGGUUAAAACUCAAAUGAAUUGACGGGGGCCCGCACAAGUGGUGGAGCAUGUUGUUUAAUUCGAUGCAACGCGAAGAACCUUACCACCCCUUGACAUCCUGCGAAUUUUCUAGAGAUAGAUUAGUGCCUUCGGGAACGCAGUGACAGGUGCUGCGUGGCUGUCGUCAGCUCGUGUCGUGAGAUGUUGGGUUAAGUCCCGUAACGAGCGCAGCCCUUGUCCUUAUUUGCCAGCACAUAAUGGUGGGAACUCUAAGGAGACUGCCGGUGACAAACCGGAGGAAGGUGGGGACGACGUCAAGUCAUCAUGGCCCUUACGGGGUGGGCUACAAACGUGCUACGAUGGUAGGUACAGAGAGCAGCCACUGGGUGACCAGGAGCGAAUCUAUAAAGCCUAUCACAGUGCGGAUC
RNAcentral lists this ribosomal RNA (508 nucleotides) under uncultured bacterium. RNAcentral describes it as "bacterial SSU rRNA". It matches the Rfam family "Bacterial small subunit ribosomal RNA", at positions 791 to 1299 of the family's 1533-position model. The record is from RNAcentral.